RNAcentral lists this unclassified non-coding RNA (278 nucleotides) under Hevea brasiliensis (rubber tree). Lineage: Eukaryota; Viridiplantae; Streptophyta; Magnoliopsida; Malpighiales; Euphorbiaceae. The record is from RNAcentral.
AAACUAGGAACCUGUUUUCUAUAUGCUCAAAAUACAAAGGAGAUUGUCGUAAAUUUUUCAAUUUUCCUUAUAGAUCAUUGUUUGACUUCUUGGUAUGUUCAUCUUCAAAAUCCACUUUUGUAAUCGACACCAUCCCAUCAAUUCAUUUUCUCCCCAAAUUUCCUGUGCAUCCCGUUGAGAGUUACUAUUGUAUUUUAAUUAGUUCCCCAAGAUUUCUACAAUUGCCGUUAAUAAUUUUCUUUCCUUUUAGGCUAUGAAGAAUUUCUAUAUAGAUGUUA